This is an RNA transcript of Trichoplusia ni (cabbage looper), 2153 nucleotides long. RefSeq lists it as uncharacterized. The record is from RefSeq and is a predicted model, not a curated record. The transcript has 5 exons. NCBI's taxonomy places the organism in Eukaryota, Metazoa, Arthropoda, Insecta, Lepidoptera, Noctuidae.
CUUUUCAGAAUUGGAGUUACAGUGCGACUUAAAAUGUCAUAAGGUACUAAUUGGCUAUGAGAGGAUGAGCCAUGGAAUCACGAAGCGCGCCGCCAAGCCCCGACGAGCCCGGGCAGGCGGUGUACGACAGUCGCUGUGGAAGGUUUCCACACCCUCCUACUCUUCAGCGGACAUUCGCGAGCUGCCGCGAGACCACACGUCCCCGUCCUCAUCACCGCCACGCUGCGUCAGAGCCGGCGCGGCCCGACGACCGGGUGCUAACCACGGCAGAAGUCCACGACUACCCAUCUUCGGAAUCUGGCAUUGCAGCCGAUUGCCCACAUCCUCAUACUAGUAACGCUGAUGAUAGCCCCUCCUAUGAUCGCUCAGACUAUGAAGGCAAUUCAAGUUAUAGUCUGAGACAUACACCAGAUUAUCAUCACACAUUAGACUGUAAACAUCGGCCUAUCGAUUAUAAUCGUAGUCAUACACCCGAUUACAAUCACGGUCAUGGGUCAGACUGCGACCGAGCGCACGCGCGCUCACAGACGUCUCGUCGGCCGCACAGAAAGCAUCGGCGAGAAGAAGACGACGGUGCUCAGUCACUUGAUGAACGAUGUGCUAGGGAUCUAGACGAAAUUCUACCAGCAAGACUAGCAGCUGUCAAUUUAUCACGAGAACCACCACCGCAGACAUGGAAUAGAAGCAACAUCGCAGCGACUAUGGAGCGAUUCGAACCAGUUGACUAUUCGUAUGCGUAUUAUGACCAUCACUUAUCUAUGCCCUCGUCGUCAAGGAAGGUAAACCGUCAACGUGGAAGAGGAGGUAUUCCGCGAGACAGGUCAUCACGUCAUAAUUAUGUUACGAGGUACGGCACCGAAGAAAACAUUUAUGAAGAAAUAACAGAUGGUUCUAGAACGUGUCCUAAGCAUCGUUAUGUCCCCCGACAGUCACUAGUUUCUUUAGAUAGAAGUGUAGUCGAAGAAGAAGUCCGUCGAGUAGAAUCCAGGCACAAACGAAUUUUGGGAGAGUUAAAUCUUAGCGUCGAGGCAAUGCUUAUGCCAGAAUGUGAAUCCCCCGAUUCGGAGCGGGCAGAAGACAGAGACAAUAUAGAGGAAUUAUUGCGAGUUGGACCGACGGAUGAGCUACUUUCACCGGCAAGCUGUAAUCCACCAGAUUUAGACAGCGGGUUUAGUGGCAGCAGUAGCGGUGCGAGUUAUGUCGGGAGUUUACGUCGUAAACCAACUGGAUCAGUGCCGCACUUACCCGCUGUAGCUUACGGCACACGAGGUGCAGGGGUACGAAUUCUAGGCGCAGACGAAUGCGGUCUACGAUGCCCUAAAGAUGUCCCAUCACCGCGCAGUUCCAGCUGCGGAGACGCAAAAACGAGCAGCUUUUGGAACAAAAAAGCUUGGAAGAAGAUAUCUGGGUUUUCUAGUUCUAACAGCAUCAACAAAGCCGGGCUUACUGGUCUGCUCGUUAGGUACACUUUCCGGCGUAAGUCCGGCUCGCAGGGCUCUCAGGGCAAGCGGCGUGCCGAGCCCGUCAAAUGCGAUGCGUGCCUCUCACAGCGAUGUUAGCCGCUCUAUGAUGACGCGGUUAGGCCAAGCAGAGCUAAAUCCAGAACAGCCACUAUACCGUACAGCUACUCCAACGGAAAACUGGUGGUGCCGCUGGAUUCCCUAGCACAGAGCUGAGGGGCCAGUCCCCCUCGGCAUUCCCGCCUCCAACUCCUCAGAGGGACUCCUCAACACCGCAGGCCAGCGGUAGACACCACCAGUGACGUAGUUCGACAACGAGCUAAGAACCAUUGUGUUACUUGAAACGUUUAAAGAAACAUUCCAUUUUACUUCAACAAUAGGUACGAGUAUCGUUAAUGCCACCUCAGCUAGUCUCAAAGACAAACUGUUCUUAGGUGUACCCAGUGUAAAUAUAGUGAACGGACAUUCAAAUAAUACUGUAGGAGAAACGGGGAGAGUAUACGUUGAAGUGAUAGAAAAGCCUAAAUUAAUUAUUUGUAUUGUUAUAACGAUCGUUUCAUAGAAACGUAAUGACUACAUUGUUGUUACUUAUCAAUUUUUAGUAGUUAAUAGGUACAUGAAAAGGCUGACAAAGUUGAAGAAUCUGAUUUUGUACAUGAUAUGAGCUGCCAUCUUAGCUAAUAUUUUAAUUUU